GAUGAAGAACGUAGCAAAAUGCGAUAAGUAGUGUGAAUUGCAGAAUUCAGUGAAUCAUCGAAUCUUUGAACGCACAUUGCGCCUCCUGGUAUUCCGGGAGGCAUGCCUGUUCGAGCGUCAUUAAAAUCACUCAAGCUUAGGUUUGCCUAUUGCUUGGUCUUGAAGAUGGAAGCUAAGUAAUUAGAAUCCUCUUCGAAAUCCAAUGGCGAAGACCCUUGCUCUCCCAAGUGUAGUAAUAACUUAUUCACUGAAGGAAGCGAGUAAUCUUCCGCCGUAACCCCCAUAUUUUCUAUGAUUGACCUCGGAUCAGGUAGGGAUACCCGCUGAACUUAAGCAUAUCAAUAAGCGGAGGA
RNAcentral lists this unclassified non-coding RNA (353 nucleotides) under soil metagenome. RNAcentral describes it as "partial contains 5.8S ribosomal RNA, internal transcribed spacer 2, and large subunit ribosomal RNA". The stretch from base 1 to 120 matches the Rfam family "5.8S ribosomal RNA", at positions 35 to 154 of the family's 154-position model. The record is from RNAcentral.